This 811-nucleotide long non-coding RNA is filed under the name Equus caballus (horse). RNAcentral's name for it is "lncRNA (ENSECAG00000054813.1)". The record is from RNAcentral. Lineage: Eukaryota; Metazoa; Chordata; Mammalia; Perissodactyla; Equidae.
AAGGCCCUAAUCCUGACCCCGCCAGCAGCUACCUCCCUUCCUGUUUUCCUGCACCUGCUCUCAGGAGGAUCCUGUCCCCAGCCCACAGCAGGCCUGUCUGGCCUGACCCCAGCGGCCAGGCCGGAGGACCAGGAGGGCUGUGCUCUAUGGGCUUCCUGCGGAGGCAGCUCAGACCCCCUGGGCUGGCCAGCAACUGGGAGCAAAAUGGGCCAGAGGCUCACUCCCACCCGCCUGACCCGGACAUCCUGGAGAGGAGCUUCCCAGUUGUGAGUUCUUUCAUCUGGACCAGUUUUCUGGAUUAAUCUGAUGAGUGAAUUGCCAAUGAUGAUGGCACGAAGCCACUUCAGACGUGCUGGUGGACCUGUGGCGACACCGCCAGGUCACGCAUUUACAUUUUAAUUGGGGCCUUCAGUGCCCUGAGGCAAGCGACCAGGGACCAGAGCUGAACUCCAGGUGAACUCCAGCUGAACUCAGGAGGGGUCCCUGAGGAGCCACCCCCAUCCACUCCAGCCACAUAAGGCCUGGCCCAGGGCCUGAGUCAAGGUUGGGCGCCCCGCCCCCGUAAUCUUUCUAAAACACAAAUCGGCCAAUGCAGCUCCUGCUUAAAACCCUCUGUGGCUCCCUAGUACCCUCAGGAUCGAGUCCAAAGCCUCAGCCUGUGCUCUGUCCACUCCUGAGCCUCUUUCCCUCUCGCUUCCUGCUUUAUGCUCCAGCCAAACCAAAUCGCUUGUGGUCCCCAGGACACACCAUGCCCUUUCCUGCUUCCCUGCUUCUGUGCAUCCAGUCCCCAUGCCUAGAACACCCUUCCCAU